AAACUUAAAGGAAUUGACGGGGACCCGCACAAGCAGCGGAGCGUGUGGUUUAAUUCGUUGCUACACGAAGAACCUUACCUGGGUUUGACAUAUAGGUUGUAGGGAACUGAAAAGGGACCGACCCUUCGGGGAGCCUAUACAGGUGUUGCAUGGCUGUCGUCAGCUCGUGUCGUGAGAUGUUCGGUUAAGUCCGCUAACGAGCGCAACCCUCGUCGUAUGUUAUAUGUGUCAUACGAGACUGCCGGUAAAAGCCGGAGGAAGGUGAGGGUGAUGUCAAGUCAGCAUGACCUUUAUAUCCAGGGCUACACACACGCUACAAUGGUCUGUACAAUGGGUAGCCAAGCCGCGAGGCGGAGCCAAUCCUGAAAGCAGGCCUCAGUUCAGAUUGCAGUCUGCAACUCGACUGCAUGAAGCCGGAGUUGCUAGUAACCGCAGGUCAGCAAUACUGCGGUGAAUACGUUCCCGGGUCUU
Molecule: ribosomal RNA, 471 nt
Filed under: uncultured Anaerolineaceae bacterium
Lineage: Bacteria; Bacillati; Chloroflexota; Anaerolineae; Anaerolineales; Anaerolineaceae
Description: bacterial SSU rRNA
Rfam family: Bacterial small subunit ribosomal RNA
Source: RNAcentral